UACGGAGGGGGCUAGCGUUGUUCGGAAUUACUGGGCGUAAAGCGCACGUAGGUGGCUUUGUAAGUUAGAGGUGAAAGCCCAGGGCUUAACCCUGGAAUUGCCUUUAAGACUGCAUCGCUAGAAUCGUGGAGAGGUAAGUGGAAUUCCGAGUGUAGAGGUGAAAUUCGUAGAUAUUCGGAAGAACACCAGUGGCGAAGGCGGCUCACUGGCCCGUUACUGACGCUCAGGCGCGACAGCGUGGGGAGCAAACAGG
Molecule: ribosomal RNA, 253 nt
Filed under: uncultured bacterium
Lineage: Bacteria
Description: partial 16S ribosomal RNA
Rfam family: Bacterial small subunit ribosomal RNA
Source: RNAcentral